Molecule: non-coding RNA, 6690 nt
Organism: Malus domestica (apple)
Lineage: Eukaryota; Viridiplantae; Streptophyta; Magnoliopsida; Rosales; Rosaceae
Source: RefSeq, a predicted model, not a curated record
AUUCUAAAACUCAAAAUCAACUGUGUUACUGUUCAUAAGCACAGUGUGCUUCCUAUUUUGCCCUCAGUUAGUUUGUAUUAUUUGAAGUCUGCCACUGACCAAAGCAUCUCUCGACAGCUGGAAUCGCACUCACCUCUUCUUCCUGCUUUAGGUGGUUCGUUCUUUCCAUUGGAUUAUGUUUGGGUGAGUUCUUAGUUCAUAGUUGCGCUCCUCCCGACUUCGAUUCCCCGUUCGAACACAAACCCAAACCUUUUAAUCUCCUUCCCCAAAUCAACACGAUCAUCCAUUAAUUUUAAUUCGCGCCCAAGUCCUUAGAACGCUCGAACCCAGUUUGGGUUCGAUAUUCCCGCCGACUUUCAAAGGUUUUCCGGUGGCGGCUGGCCCUGCAACCAAAACUAUUUGACUCAGACAGUCCCAACAACAACAUGUGAGCUUUGCAUGCUCGAAUCUACCCGUCGAUCAAAGAUUUCCAUAAGUCCACCUUGCGGUGGGUUUUUUCGACGAGGAUCGGAAUCUUUUUCGGCCAAUUUCAGGCCUUUGAGACCUUUUUUGGGUCCAGCCAAGGAUGAUCAUGAAUGAAUGGUACUCUUCUGCAAUGGCGGGAUUUGUUAUCUGUGGGGCAACUGAUUGGAUUCUGUAAAUCAAUUUGGUGGAGGAGUUGUUCCGUAGCCUGAGGAAGAACAGAGCAAUGUUUUUGAAACAAGAGUGCUGUGUUGGAACCAACAAUGUUGUAUGGUCUAAUUAUUUUCCCUUAAUAUGAUUGAAUUUUAAUUAGUUGUAUGUAUAUCCAGAACUAAUGAAAGUAUUCAAAACUCUGAAUUUGUAGCUCUCAAAGUCCUCAGACCCAAAUUCCUCAACAUUUCCUCAAACCCACAACUUUGGCUUUGACCGUUCUUUCUCCUCCUUGGGUUCUAUUUUCGUCUCUGAUCCCUCGAGUAAGCAGUCGUAGCGGCCAGUUUUCAUGGUCGGCUUGGAUCUUUUAAGUUUGAUUGAUAAGGAUUGGUGAAAUAGUUUACACUAAACAUGAUUUGAUUAUAUCUUUCCUCUUAAGUUUAUUAUGCAGCUCCUUUUAUAGGCAAUGCUGCCCCUUAGUUCUGUUUAUUGGGUUUCUUUUGAAUAUCUGUUAUGAUGUCCAGCUUUCUCACUGUACAUUUGGUACCUGAGUAUUGGAUGUUAGCUUAGAGAUUUUGAAAUACCAAUAUUUUUUAGUUAUCGUAUUAUUUUGACCGUAUUAUUUGCUUUUUAUGACCUAAAAAUACAGUAAUGAAUGAUAAGAUGGGUUUUGAUUUAUAUAUGCAAAGUGUCCGUAACUGCUGCUUAUGAUAAUUUUGUUGGGGAUCCUAUUACUAUGCACUAGCUUGGCGCCAAUGAGUUUUUUUAUUUGAUUUGAGAGAAAUUGAGGAAUGAGAAAUUGUUUUUUGCUUAUGCUUUUUUUAGGUGUGUACUAAAUUGAAUGGCUAAUACAAAAUGUGAACCAAUCUUACUUUUUAAUUUUUGUGUGCCUUUAAAUCAUAUGCAAUUUAGAUUCAUUCAAUUCUUAAGGGAUCGAGUUCUAUUUUUAAUUUUUUUUGUAUUUUUUUUCAAUUCAUCGUUAUUGUACAAGACAAAGGAGACACCAUUAACGACGCAUAUGGGUGUCUUUAGUGGAACAAAUCUUACCUUUUGAGCCUUGUACAAUUUUAAACGUUAAAGUCUCCCUGGGAAUAGGACCAUAGCUUUUGAAGAACAAUCCAUGAGGAUGACAUACUAACAUCCUCCAUUUUUGGCAUGUAAUAUAUGAUUGUAAAUAGUACUCUCUAGCUAUGGUGUACUACCAUCCCAAUUUUUGUUAUGUAAUAUAUGAAUGUAAAUAGUACUUGGUUAUGGCCAUGGCGUACUCUCUGGCACAUAUUUUCUCACGUAUAUAUGCCCUACUUUUUACACGUUUAAGACAAUUUUGAGACCCGCAGCAUCGCGCGGGCUUCACUGCUUGUAUAUACUAAAAGAGAAAAUACACUGAAACACUGUUCAUAGUACAGUGUGAUUCCGUUUUUGCCCCUACUUCUUUUUUGCUAUUCCAACUUUGCCGGUUUGCUACGCUGUGGGAACAAAAUGGUGACGCGUGUUCUUCCUUCUCGAUGUUUCGACUUGCUUCUUUCUCUCUCUGCUCUCACCGACUCACUUCCGUCAACUCUUUUCUCUCGCAGUACCCACAAGCUCUCUUUCGCAGAAAUGACGAACCCAGCUCGACUUCUCUUUCAAAACUCAGGUCGAGUCCUCGACUUCUCUCUUCUAUUGCUCUCGAAUUCGCCCUCUCUCGCUGACGGUUUUUGGUGCCUCGUGGAUUCUGACUGCCUCCGCAGCCGUGAAAUCAUAGAAAUCAUCAUCGAUCAAGCCCUUGCUGUUCACAAGAUCCAGCUUUCUGAAGCUUUGGCUCAAUUUGAUCCGGCUUGGUUCUGCUCCUCGCCUUGCUGUUAACAAGAUCCAGUUGUUAAGGUUCGCAAACAAAAACCUUCUUUGCAAAUGGAUUUCUUGCUUUCACCGAUUAUUUGUCUUUCAUGCAUGUUGGGUUUUUUUUUUAUAUUAAUUUUGGUCAUGUGAUUUUUGUUCUUCAUUUUACUUGGAUUUUGAGAUUUUGUUUCUGUUCUAUUUAUAUUAGUUUUUUUUUUAUAUUAAUUUUGGUCAUGUGAUUUUUAUAUUAGUUUUUUUUUUCUUCCUCUGCUGAAAUUACACUUGGAUAAAUUGUGUCAAUUUCUUUUUAUGUGUGUAGAAAAUUUUAGCGUUGUUUUUGUGGCUAUUAUAUGAUUGGCUGACAAAUAGUGCCUUUAGCACUACCUUCUCUCUCACUGAGCCCUAGCUCAAACCCUCAUCCGCCGUCGCUAACCUACACCCUCCACUGCCCGCACUUCAAAUCGUGCUCCGAGUGUACUCACGAGUUCAAUCUCCACCGUCCUGUCAUCGAUGAGGCGACGGAGUUCUUCAAGACAGUUGGAGUCUCAGAUUUCACUUUUGACAGUUGCAAAUUUGUGCUUUACUUGACUUUUUUUUCCCCUUAAUUUCGUGAAGUUUAGGCCUUUUCUUAAAAUUUAAAUAAAAAGAAAUAUCUAUCUGGUAUUGGUUAGUUUUGAUCUUGAUAUUAACUGGGUUUGGUGUUCGUGGGGAUGGCAGUGUCUCGCAAAGUUAGCCGUUCUUGGGUCACCAGGUCACCACAAAACCCCCUGAUUGGGCUUUAUCAUUAGGAACUCAUAGUGUAGUAGAUAUUCCUCAAUGCAAAGCUCAUUGUCCAAGUAUAAAUGCUGCUGUGGAGCUGCCUAAAGAAGGUCCCUUUCCGGUUAUUAAAACUCAAUGUUACCUGUUUUCAUUUCCAGUUUUUAAGUCUUCUAUUUGUUUGCUUGCUGCAAUUAUUCAACUUAACUACCAUUUGGAUCAUGUGAAUGACAACUUUCAUGUAUAUUUUCAAAUAAUGAGCAGUUUAUUGCUGUUAAUCUGUUGAUCACUGUAUAUGUUGCUGAUUUACCUACUCAAACAACGUACAUGUUAACAUUGAUAUAUAAAACUUAUUUAUAUGUUAAUAGUAUGGUUUCUUUACAUUUGAGAUUGGUUGAACAACAACAUUUUCUACUUUCCCAUGCCAACUCACUCCACUCUGUUCGAAGCUCUUCAACUUUUGCACACAAAUUGCUCAAAAAUUCCUGCUCUCAAACAUCUUAGAUCCCUUACUCACCCUUCUGGCAUCAACACCCAAAGGUAUAUUUCUCUCAUUGCUUUCACAAUUCAGUGUGUGUAUAUAUAUAUGUAUAUAUAUGCUGAAAUGUAUGAAGACAUUCACAUAUUGUAGAACUAAAAGGACGGUAGAAUGCUUGAAUAAUGGAAUGGAGUCGAGAUUAUGUUGAGAAAGGACAGUAAAUAGCUAUCACUAUGUGAAUGUCUUAUUUUCUUUCACUACGUAAAUAGAUUUUAAGAGGUCGCACUUGGUGCGAUGGCAAGUGCCCUUCGCCCAUAAGCGGUAGGUCUCGGGUUCGAGACUUGGGAGCAGCCUCUCCAUAAAUGGGGGUAAGGCUAGCCGACAUUCACCUCUCCCAGACCCUGCGUAAAGCGGGAGCCUUGUGCACUGGGUACGACCUUUUAUUGUAUUUCCCAUGUUGAGAGAAAGAACUAAAAGGAUAGUAAAGUGCUCGAAUAAUGGAACCGAAUCGAGAUUAUGCCCAAGGUAUAUGGUAAUCUUUCUAUUUUACCAAAGCCAGAACAAAGAAAGAUGCUCUAUUAAUCUAGGGAUAUGGCACCCCUUUGGUUUUUGGAUAGGAUUUGGUGCAUUAUCAAAUAAGAGCUUUUUCUUUAGAAUUAUUGAAUCAGUGCAAUAUUUCGGUCUGAGCACCAUAAUAGCAGCCACAGAUAACUUCUCACCCAUUAACAAACUCGGCCAACGAGGUUUUGGCAUUGUUUAUUAGGUGAAUCCCAAUUCAGAAGUCUUACACAUUUUACAAUUGAAUGAUUUCUUCUUUAUACAGUAAUUUUGGUCUGUUUCUUCAAGUCUACUGUUUUUUUUUUUUUUGUUUGUUUUAAAGCAUGAAAGCCUAAUAGUAAUACUGAUUCAUUACUUCAGGGCCACUUGCCAAAUGGUCAGAUUAUUGCUGUAAAAUAUGUAGAUUGCACUUGAACAAGAAGAUUGAGAAACAGAAGGUUGGAGGACUAGAUGAUCAAGCACUGCCUUAUUUUUAAAGAAAAGAAUAGUCUUUAGAAGAGCAUAUUUUGUGUUUGGCUUCCUCUACUGACAAGUCUGAGAAUUCGCAUGAGCUGGAACGCUACUGUCGGUUUGGAUUCCAAAAAGACAAACGUGCAAAAAUUUGAUCACAUCCUAUAAAAUUGCCAGAAAAAGGUCAUUCCCAAAUCAUGCAAAACCAGCCUUCUUUCCUGCACAAAAAACUGGGUAAACACAAUCUAUCCUUAUUUUAUUCAUGAUAUAAGAUUUUGCAACAGCGGUUGCAUGGGCAGCAGGGAAGCUGUUGGUGAUGGAAAGGGUGAAGGUUGCUCCACCUAAGGCCAUGGAAAUGAGGGUAAAGGUCAAAUAUACCUCAGUUUAUCACACUAAACUCUACUUCUGCCGAAGGUCAGCAAUAAUAUCUACUACAUACAUAUAAUAUACAUAAUAUAUAUAUAUAUAUACACGAUUUUAAAUGAUUAAGAUUUGAGAAUUGCAGAUUUGUAAACUAUGAGUAGAGUUUUCCAGGCACAUUUACUUUGAGUGAAUACAUUGUUGUUCAUUCUGGCCAUCUUUCCAAAAUCAAGCGCCUUGCUCAGUUGGACAAAGUUUGCAUCCUUACCAACAAGUUUGGUGUCGUACUCAAUGCUUUAGAGCCUUGAAUUAUGCAUCCUCAACUGAUACUACAUAUUGAAUUGUUUGCAUUAUACUGAAUAUUUUGUUUUUUAAUAUCAGGUUUGGGUUCCCCUCUCAAUGUAGCAAAACGAAAAAUUAUCCUCAGUUGCUGUUUAUUGGCCUCACUGAAAGUUUGGACAAACUUUGUUUAUCCCAAAUUCUUUGUUCUAAUAAAUUGCAUUUAUUUUCUUUUCUGUAUUUAUACUGAUAAAUGCAUGAUCUAGGCUACUAAAGGUGGAAGAAUUUCUGAGGUGCCACAGAGUAUUGGGGUGGAGUUGGUGGACUUGAAGCCCAAGAGGUUUGACAAAGUCUACAAUGUACAUACAACUAAGGAAAAGACCGAGACAUCAACCAGUGCAGAAGCUCUUGAUAAGACUAAUUGCCGAUAGCACUACAAAUGAGCACCACAAUUUUAAGCUUGAUGUUGGUAUGUGAUUUCCACUCCAUCUCAUCUUUUUUUUUUUUUUUUUUUUAACGUUAGUUUAAUUUUCAAACCUUUUGUAUGUAUCAAGUAAUUCUCCAUAUAAUUGAAUAAUGGCCUUUUUUUUGUUUCUCUUUUUCGCUCCUCCAUCAAUUCAUUGGUUAAAUAGAUUGAAAAAAUUUAGUUUUUCUAUAUUGAAUUCUUACUGAUUCCAAUUCUUAAUAUAUAGCAAGAGAAAAUUUCUGACUAUGAACUUCUGUACAUGAAUAUAGCUUUCAUAGCAUCUCUAUCUUUAUAACAGUGAGGAAUUGCACACUGCCAAUCUCUAUCUUAGGUAUAUAAAUCUAACUUCAAUAAAUUCUGUUUUAUGUAUGUACAUAUUAUCAAAAUAUUUUAAACACCCGCAGCAACGCGCAGGCACUUUUGCUAGUAUACACUAUUGUAGGGUUCAAGAUUCAAGACCAAAGAUAGCAGCUUUGCCGAAACCAUGGUGGAUUCCUGACACUGUACACCAACUACUGUACAUAUCUCAGCAUAGAAACCUCACACAGAUUUCAACUUAAAAGGGUUUUUGCUCCUCUGUUUUUAGAUUCAAAUUUUGCUUCAGAUGUUCAGUUCCUGAUUAAUUUUUAGGCUUUUUAGUUUACUAGUUUCCGUUCAGUUUUCAUCUUCUUUGAUUACAUUUGAAUAUAUAUAUAUGUAUGUAUGGGGGAUAUAUAGAAGAAGAGUGUAAGAAAUGGAGGGGUUUGAGAGUAGGGUAGUAUUCAAGAGGCUACGUUCCUCAAGAUCUCAACCAAUUGUUGUUUUUUUUUACGGUUAAGAGUAAUGAAUAAUUUCAGUCAAUAAGGGUAUAUAUUUUUAUGUUAACUUUUGGUUGUAAUUAUCAUAAAUUUAAGAGAGUGGCUAUAAUUCUAUA